GCGUCGCGAACUCGAGCGGCAGAGUACCGGCCCCUUAAGCCGACAAGUCAGGGUUCGAGCCCCUGGCGACGCACCA
Molecule: transfer RNA, 76 nt
Filed under: Rubrivivax sp.
Lineage: Bacteria; Pseudomonadati; Pseudomonadota; Betaproteobacteria; Burkholderiales; Sphaerotilaceae
Description: tRNA-Lys
Rfam family: tRNA
About the family: Transfer RNA (tRNA) molecules are approximately 80 nucleotides in length. Their secondary structure includes four short double-helical elements and three loops (D, anti-codon, and T loops).
Source: RNAcentral